RNAcentral lists this small nuclear RNA (105 nucleotides) under Phascolarctos cinereus (koala). The record is from RNAcentral. Lineage: Eukaryota; Metazoa; Chordata; Mammalia; Diprotodontia; Phascolarctidae.
GUGCUGGCUCUGGCGGCAUGUAUACUAAAACUGGAACUAGACAAAGAAGAUUAGCAUGGCCCUGCAAAAGGAUGACAAGUUCUUUGUGAACCAUUCCAAAGGUUU